UAGAAUCUUGCAGGCCCUGUGAUGGCACAC
This 30-nucleotide non-coding RNA is filed under the name Rattus norvegicus (Norway rat). Lineage: Eukaryota; Metazoa; Chordata; Mammalia; Rodentia; Muridae. The record is from RNAcentral.